GUCUGAACUCACCAGAAGAUGCUUGCUCUGAAGAGUUUACAAUCUACUAACACACGCAGCCUUUGAAAAGAGGGACAGUGGGACACAACGAAGCAUAACAGAAGACAUGAGACGUGGAGGCAAAGUGAGCAGUUGCCAUUUUGGAUCAGUUUGGCCCUUGUGGAUGUUCCAUGCAACGUGGGAGAAUGUGCAAAGACUGGUGUGGGCUUGACUGGUGGCUUGUCAAAACUGUCAACGUUGGUGAGCAAGAGAGAUGUGAAAAGAAACAAGCACAGAUAAACACAUAUAGCCUUGUGGCUAGGACAAGAAAGUAGGAGUCAGAAUUCCUGGGAUAUACUCCUGCUACUGAGUGUCUGGGUACCCUUGGACAAGUCACUCUACCCUUCCAAACCUCAGCUUACCCAUAGAGAAAAACAGGUAUAACAAUAUUUGUGUGGGUAUUUAUUGGGUUAUCUCUCUCAGGACACCGUCAAUACCAGGUUGAGUAAUCAAGACCGCCGAAAAGAGAAAUAACCCACUUCCUUCCCUGACGAACCAAGGGACGCACCCCACCCACGUACUUUUUCACUACACUGAUACUGACUUGGACUCUUAAUACAUUCCAUGGGUGGCGUACCUGAGCCCACUUAUCCACUGAUGCUUUAAAAACCCCUGCACUCCAAUCUGGGUUUAUGCUGGUUAUGUGAUAUGUAUCUAUCUCGUGAUCCUUGUAACUGAUACCUGUAAUCCCUCAUAACUCAAGCCUGACCCCAGA
This is a long non-coding RNA of Gopherus evgoodei (Goodes thornscrub tortoise), 754 nucleotides long. RefSeq lists it as uncharacterized. The transcript has 3 exons. The record is from RefSeq and is a predicted model, not a curated record. NCBI's taxonomy places the organism in Eukaryota, Metazoa, Chordata, Testudines, Testudinidae.